RNAcentral lists this long non-coding RNA (3745 nucleotides) under Sus scrofa (pig). Its description in RNAcentral is "lncRNA (ENSSSCG00035050550.1)". Lineage: Eukaryota; Metazoa; Chordata; Mammalia; Artiodactyla; Suidae. The record is from RNAcentral.
CAAAUUUCAAAAGUUUUUAUCAAAUAGUUCAUAUUAAUAUCGCCUUUGGUUAUGACACUUCCCAGUUAUGUUUUUGAUUUCAGAAGGAAUGGCAUUUAGGAAUAUCCCUUCAUGCCUGAAGCAGCCUUCAUGCAACUGCUGUGACACCAACAUCAUUUUGGACAAAUGGGUGCUUUCUUUCUCUUUGCUUUGCUAGAUUCUCUUCUCUUUUUUAAGUGAUGGUCACAUGCGGUUGGGUGUUUGCACUUUGCAAAUCACUGACAUCAAAUGAGCUAGAUUUGGCAUGAGUUAAAUUAGAAAUUUAAAAAGCAAGGUUACCUAAGCAUUUCUUCAGAACACUGCAUAAUCUCUGGAAGCAGUGGGUUCAGUGUUCUCUAACUCCCUGCCUCUGGGUGCUGGAUACAGCACACCUACAGCAAUCAUGAGGGUUGAGGAGUUUUACGUAGCAGCAGCCGAGGAACGCUUGAAGUCCAUGAGACAGAUCAAUAAAGGUUGAAGUAACAUCCAACUAGGUCUAGAACACUUUUAAAAAGUAAUCUCAAUUACUGUGGUCCCUGAAAUUUUGCCUACAUCGGUAAAGUCAUUCAUUUUCUUAUUUUUACUUUUUGAACCCUGAAAUGAUAUUGUUUUAUGUAGUAUUUCCUGAGUUUAUUUUCCUCAUACCACAGUAACUGUUCCAACUCCUUCUUGCCUUUUUAAUGGACAUAGUUGUUAAUUUAGCAAACUGCAAUGCGUUUUUCGAUUUUGGGAGAAGGACUUUAUAUACUAAAGGAAAGUCACAUAUAACGUAUUUCUCAAUUUUGGAAUUUUAUGUGAAUGACAUGAGAAGCUAUAGUCCUACGAGACACCUAAGAGACUUUUUCACAAAGCAAUAAUAUGACCAUUAAAAGCUUACCAUCCUUCUUUUCCUAAUAAGAAUUCAGCUAUAUUUUUCUUUGCAGUUCUAAGGAAUUUAGGAAUAUAUAUAUUCUGUAGACAGAGCAGUCCUCGUACGACUAGAGGUCCAGAUACUGUAUUAGACAGAUGGGUCCUUCUACUGUAGGCUUCUUCAUGACUAGUUAGUACACAUCUCAAAUGUGUCUGCAAGUCUGGAUUGUAUUCUCAAAAAAGAAGAGGUUCCACUGAAAAGCAAAUGAUCGAUACUGUUUAUCCUUGGAGUCCUGUUCUGCUUCCUCUCAUUGAGUCAUUGGCUCUCUUUGCUCCUUUACUUCGAGGAGUUGCGGGGAGAGGGCCAUGUAAUACAACUACCUGCCUCUGACUGCAAGACCUCUUGUGGAAUAUUACGUUUCUAGAUCCUAAAGCACUCGUCAGUUGGAACUAAGAAGCAGACUAUGAAAGGGUUUCAAAUGUGUGUCCUCUUUUUAAGCGUUGCACUCUCAUUUUCAGUGAAUUGGUGUGUUCUUCUCCUUUUUCUGCACAUGCGAUUGAACCAAAAAAGGGCAGGUCAAUAAUAGGCUUUCAACUUUUCCUGCUUGUGGUUUCAUUUGUUUCUGGCUUCUUUGGGUAGCUUAUCAAUCAAAAAUGCCAUGUGUUUCUAUCUAUACCUGGACACUGUUUAAUCUGCUUCCUGCAGCUCCUUACCUCCCGGUAACCAUCUUCCUCAGCUCUAAAACGCACAUACUAUGACCUGAUUUUCUCUUAUUCUCUUCGUUCACCAGACAGUGUUUGCCGUCAUCACGUGUUGUUCAGUUUCCCCCUUUAUGACCUCUUUCAUCUGUCUUGUCCUCAUAAUCAACUUGGUCAAAUAGAUUAUUACCAAUACAAUUGAUGGGCUGGGUAUUUUUGAAGGUUGUGAUGUAUGCAUUUUCUUCCAAGACAAAGGCAGGCCAUUUGCUUUACAACCUUCCCUUCUGCCAUUUGAUAUCACAAUUCUCUUCCUUUCCACUCAAGUUAGCCAAAUAUCUUAUUAAAGCUGGCCAGUCAAAGCGUGAAAGUCUAAAUCACAUAAAAAGGGAUCAAUCAGUCUUUUAGAAGCCCGUCAUCAUCAUGUCUACUGUUUCUGAUUUUUACUCAUUCACUAAAUCAUCUCCCUUUCUGCCUCUCUUCACUGUUGUGGACUAUUCCCCAAAUAAACAUGAGUUCUCAGCCAGUGUUGGUGUGUUGGUGUAUUGGUGUGUUGGUGUGUGUGUUUGCAAGCAGUCUGUGUGUGUGUGUGUGUGUGUGUGUGUGUGUGUGUGUGUGUGUGUGUGUUUAUCAGCAUCCUGAUAUGUUUAAAGGCACUUGAGUUUUCUGCAUGAUAUUUCCCAACAUAUUUACGCUGACUUUUCCAUUUUGUCUUUCAGAAGGACCACAGAACUUAGAUCAAGUCCAGAAAGAAAUGGGUAAAUCUUUUUGACAUUUUUUAACAGAUGUAUUUCUUUAAAACAUCUUUUCCCACCAUUUCUCAACAUUCCCUCCUCCCUGCUCCUGUCCGCCCUUUAGCUUCUUGUGGGUUCCACGUUACCCUAUCUUCUCUUUGACGUCCUGAGGUCCUCCCACAUCACGUUCCCUUCUCACCAUCUCUCUGGCUGUUAUUCCUUCCAGUCUCUUCCUUGCUAUACACCCAGGUGGUGUUCUACCUCCCUGGUGAUUACCCUAAUUUCAUGAUAAGGUUGGUGAGAUGAAGGCGAUUCGCUUAAGGUGAGUGUGGUCAUUGCCAUUCGAGAGAAGGCUUCCUUUCCCUUGGGUUCUCCAAGUGCUCUGAGGUGGAGUGCCUCUUGCUUUACAGAUGAUCGUGUUCUGGCUUUUAGGGGAAGCAUUCAGACUCCAAAGCUGUUGCAUGAGAUGAGUUCCUUCUUUGUUGACUGUGUAAACACUGUCUGUAUACACUGAUGUCAAGCGUGCUCUUGAAACGAGCCAGUCCGCUUUGCUUGACCCUAUUCCCAAGGGAUAUUGGUAAUAGUUUUGCAUGACAAUGUGGGAUUUUUCCUUUUAAACAACAAUGAUUACUCUCCUUUCUUUUAUAUUUUAAUUCAUUUAAUAAUUACUCCAACACAUUUCUCUUCCUUCAGGGUCUUACACAUACACUUUUCCGUCAAUCAAAUAAACGUGACUGACAAUAUAUUUCCGGCGUCAGUGGCUGUUUUCUAAGAUAACCCUACAUCAUUUCUGAGAGCCUAGUGCAAGAAUUACAAAAUCCUCAUGUCCCGACGUAUCACGUUACAACCCUGAAACCAUAGUGAGGUUUUCAGGUGGCAUUCAUUAACUUGAGCAAUUGCAUUUCUUUGGAAAUGGACGUUACUUAGGUAGCUUUUAGACACAAAUACUGGCAAACUAAGAUAUUACCUGCAUUUCCCUUAUGAUGCUAAGAAAUCUUGUUUAGAAAUACAUGCAUGAUUGUGUGUUUUCUCUCAGCUAGGAUGAUGGCUCUGUUCAAGGAUGGUGAGUAAAGCUUAUCUCUCAGAAGUUGUCAUUCUUUUCUCUCUCUGAGAUUCUGCCCCCCACAAGCAAAGGGAUGCAGAAAUAUAGCAAAUAUGUUUAUAGUAGGCAAAGCAGCAUUGGAACCAUUGCCUCUGUAGAGUCCAGCACUUGGAAUAAAUUCCCUCUGAAGUGCAAACCAACCACUAGCAAUUCAGCAUGGGGUCCUCCUCCCCACCUCUCCUCCUUCCAUCCUUCCAUCCUCCCUCCCUUUCUUCCUUUUACACGACCCCUUCCCACUCCUCCUCCACACCCCCAACCUUUGAGGUUUCUACAUUUCUGUCCUCCACCUGAUCAUUUUUCGCAUCAUGUGUGGAACAAAUUGAAUAUGAAGCUACAAGACAGAGAG